This 84-nucleotide transfer RNA is filed under the name Spirochaeta lutea. It matches the Rfam family "tRNA". From Rfam's summary of the family: Transfer RNA (tRNA) molecules are approximately 80 nucleotides in length. Their secondary structure includes four short double-helical elements and three loops (D, anti-codon, and T loops). Lineage: Bacteria; Pseudomonadati; Spirochaetota; Spirochaetia; Spirochaetales; Spirochaetaceae. The record is from Rfam by way of RNAcentral.
GCGGCGGUGGUGAAAUUGGUAGACACGCCAGCUUGAGGGGCUGGUGGCCGCAAGGCCGUGAAGGUUCAAGUCCUUUCCGCCGCA